GGGCCGGUAGCUCAGCCUGGAAGAGCGCCGCCCUUGCAAGGCGGAGGACCCGGGUUCAAGUCCCGGCCGGUCCA
This 74-nucleotide transfer RNA is filed under the name Desulfurococcus sp. Its description in RNAcentral is "tRNA-Ala". It matches the Rfam family "tRNA". Rfam says of the family: Transfer RNA (tRNA) molecules are approximately 80 nucleotides in length. The record is from RNAcentral. Lineage: Archaea; Thermoproteati; Thermoproteota; Thermoprotei; Desulfurococcales; Desulfurococcaceae.